AGGACUAACGCUGGCGGCGUGCCUAACACAUGCAAGUCGAACGGGUUGUAGCAAUACAGCCAGUGGCAGACGGGUGAGUAACACGUAGAUAACGUACCCCUCCGCUGGGGAUAGCCACUGGAAACGGUGGGUAAUACCGAAUACAUUCUGGUUCGGGCAUCUGAACUGGAAGAAACUGUUCAGGGUGGAGGGAGCGGUUUGCGACCUAUCAGCUAGUUGGUGAGGUAACGGCUCACCAAGGCGACGACGGGUAGCCGGUCUGAGAGGAUGAUCGGCCACACUGGCACUGAGAUACGGGCCAGACUCCUACGGAGGCAGCAGUGAGGAAUUUUGCGCAAUGGAGGAAACUCCGACGCAGCGACGCCGCGUGCGGGACGAAGCCUUCGGGUGUAAACCGCUGUCAGUGGGAAGAGAAUGGACGGUACCACGUGAGGAAGCCUCGGCUAACUACGUGCCAGCAGCCGC
Molecule: ribosomal RNA, 465 nt
Filed under: uncultured bacterium
Lineage: Bacteria
Description: SSU rRNA
Rfam family: Bacterial small subunit ribosomal RNA
Source: RNAcentral